GCGUCUGUGGCUCAAAGGAGUAGGGCACUGGCCCCAUAUGCCAGAAGUGGCGGGUUCAAACCCAGCCCAGACCA
Otolemur garnettii (small-eared galago) is the source of this 74-nucleotide non-coding RNA. Lineage: Eukaryota; Metazoa; Chordata; Mammalia; Primates; Galagidae. The record is from Rfam.